GUUAGUCCGGAAAUGUUUUUGACUAUGCUUAUGUUAGGGACCAUUCAUUAUUUAUGACUGGGGGUGGUCCGGCAAAAAAGGGGGUGGGUCAUGAAGUAUUUUUGACCGAAUAAGGGUGGGGCACGUAAAAAUAUUAGUUCAGAAGGGGGGUCCAGUUAUUAUAUUAUAGUGGGGGAAAAUUUGACUUGUAACGAUUAUUGCUACAGCAGAGAGCGAACAAGG
Non-coding RNA from Paramuricea clavata, 222 nucleotides. NCBI's taxonomy places the organism in Eukaryota, Metazoa, Cnidaria, Anthozoa, Malacalcyonacea, Plexauridae. The record is from the annotation of a GenBank genome assembly.